Long non-coding RNA from Sinocyclocheilus anshuiensis, 296 nucleotides. RefSeq lists it as uncharacterized. The transcript is spliced from 3 exons. The record is from RefSeq and is a predicted model, not a curated record. Lineage: Eukaryota; Metazoa; Chordata; Actinopteri; Cypriniformes; Cyprinidae.
AACACUGUUCACCUGCUGAGGGGAGACUUGCACAAUGAUAAGAGCCUCCUUCUCUGCAGUGGUGCGCGGCAGGAAGAGUGGCGAAGGCUUGAGGAUGACAAACAGCCAUUACCGCCAUUAAAGUGAGCUGACUGAGCCAGUCUGAGCCCAUCAAGUGGAACCUCCCAGUCCACUGGGGCUUUCAGCUAUCGCCUUUGGCUACGGGGAAUGGGGUUGAGGAGGAGGGGUGAGUUGAUGUAGCGUGAGACAGCUCUGUAUCUUUUAUUAAAUUACUCAUGUCCCGCUGAAACAGAUGA